Molecule: ribosomal RNA, 460 nt
Filed under: uncultured bacterium
Lineage: Bacteria
Description: partial 16S ribosomal RNA
Rfam family: Bacterial small subunit ribosomal RNA
Source: RNAcentral
CCUACGGGAGGCAGCAGUGAGGAAUAUUGGUCAAUGGGCGCAAGCCUGAACCAGCCAAGUCGCGUGAGGGAUGACGGUCCUAUGGAUUGUAAACCUCUUUUGUCGGGGAGCAAGGCCCGCCACGUGUGGCGGGAAGGAGAGUACCCGAAGAAAAAGCAUCGGCUAACUCCGUGCCAGCAGCCGCGGUAAUACGGAGGAUGCGAGCGUAAUCCGGAUUUAUUGGGUUUAAAGGGUGCGAAGGGGGAAGGUUAAGUCAGCGGUAAAAUGUCGGUGCUAAACACAGGCCUGCCGUUGAAACUGGUCUUCUUGAGUGAGCGAGAAGUAGGCGGAAUGCGUGGUGUAGCGGUGAAAUGCAUAGAUAUCACGAAGAACUCCGAUUGCGAAGGCAGCAUACCGGCGCUCAACUGACGCUGAGGCACGAAAGCGUGGGGAUCGAACAGGAUUAGAUACCCUGGUAGUC